Molecule: non-coding RNA, 24 nt
Filed under: Arabidopsis thaliana (thale cress)
Lineage: Eukaryota; Viridiplantae; Streptophyta; Magnoliopsida; Brassicales; Brassicaceae
Source: RNAcentral
UUUAAUAGGGGAAUGUACCACAUG